UACGGAAGGCAGCAGUGGGGAAUAUUGCACAAUGGGCGCAAGCCUGAUGCAGCCAUGCCGCGUGUAUGAAGAAGGCCUUCGGGUUGUAAAGUACUUUCAGUCGUGAGGAAGGUGUUAAGGUUAAUAACCUUAGCAAUUGACGUUAGCGACAGAAGAAGCACCGGCUAACUCCGUGCCAGCAGCCGCGGUAAUACGGAGGGUGCGAGCGUUAAUCGGAAUUACUGGGCGUAAAAGGGCACGCAGGCGGUUAAUUAAGUUGGAUGUGAAAUCCCCGGGCUUAACCUGGGAAUGGCAUUCAAGACUGGUUAGCUAGAGUCUUGUAGAGGGGGUAGAAUUCCAUGUGUAGCGGUGAAAUGCGUAGAGAUGUGGAGGAAUACCGGGUGGCGAAAGGCGGCCCCCUGGGACGAAACGAACUGACGGCUCAUGUGCGAAA
Molecule: ribosomal RNA, 433 nt
Filed under: uncultured bacterium
Lineage: Bacteria
Description: bacterial SSU rRNA
Rfam family: Bacterial small subunit ribosomal RNA
Source: RNAcentral